Molecule: RNase P RNA, 291 nt
Filed under: Halobacteriovoraceae bacterium
Lineage: Bacteria; Pseudomonadati; Bdellovibrionota; Bacteriovoracia; Bacteriovoracales; Halobacteriovoraceae
Description: RNase P RNA component class A
Rfam family: Bacterial RNase P class A
About the family: Ribonuclease P (RNase P) is a ubiquitous endoribonuclease, found in archaea, bacteria and eukarya as well as chloroplasts and mitochondria. Its best characterised activity is the generation of mature 5'-ends of tRNAs by cleaving the 5'-leader elements of precursor-tRNAs.
Source: RNAcentral
CGAGAGGAGUUGGUUAUCGCGAGGUUUUCUUCGAGGAAAGUCCGGACACCAUAGAGCAAUAUAGCGGGUAAUGCCCGUCCACCGUGAGGUGAGGACAAGUGCAACAGAAAGCAAGUACAGUUCGGCUGUAGUGAAAUCAGGUAAACUCUAUAUGGUGCAAGCUCAAAUAGGCCAACGUUUUACAGCUGCUCGUUGGAGUUGGCGGGUAGAGUGCUCGAGUUUGUCAGUAAUGGCGAACCUAGACGAAUGAUAGCCCCAAAGACAGAAUCCGGCUUACUCUCCUCUCGGUUC